AAGCGGAGACGUAGCGAAAGCGAGUCUGAAUAGGGCGCAUAAGUAACAGGUUGUAGACCCGAAACUAGGUGAUCUACCCCUGUCCAGGAUGAAGGUAAGGUAAUACUUACUGGAGGUCCGAACCCACGAAUGUUGAAACGUGCGGGGAUGAGGUGAGGGUAGCGGAGAAAUUCCAAUCGAACUUGGAGAUAGCUGGUUCUCUCCGAAAUAGCUUUAGGGCUAGCCUCGAGGUAAAGAGUCAUGGAGGUAGAGCACUGUUUGGACUAGGGGCCCUUCUCGGGUUACCGAAUUCAGAUAAACUCCGAAUGCCAUGUACUUAUACUCGGGAGUCAGACUGCGAGUGAUAAGAUCCGUAGUCGAAAGGGAAACAGCCCAGACCACCAGUUAAGGUCCCCAAUUAUAUGUUAAGGGGAAAAGGAUGUGGGGUUGCUUAGACAACCAGGA
Molecule: ribosomal RNA, 444 nt
Filed under: Klebsiella pneumoniae
Lineage: Bacteria; Pseudomonadati; Pseudomonadota; Gammaproteobacteria; Enterobacterales; Enterobacteriaceae
Description: bacterial LSU rRNA
Rfam family: Bacterial large subunit ribosomal RNA
Source: RNAcentral